CGUGCUUAACACAUGCAAGUCGAACGAAGAGCGAUGGAAGCUUGCUUCUAUCAAUCUUAGUGGCGAACGGGUGAGUAACGCGUAAUCAACCUGCCCUUCAGAGGGGGACAACAGUUGGAAACGACUGCUAAUACCGCAUACGAUCUAAUCUCGGCAUCGAGGAUAGAUGAAAGGUGGCCUCUACAUGUAAGCUAUCACUGAAGGAGGGGAUUGCGUCUGAUUAGCUAGUUGGAGGGGUAACGGCCCACCAAGGCGAUGAUCAGUAGCCGGUCUGAGAGGAUGAACGGCCACAUUGGGACUGAGACACGGCCCAGACUCCUACGGGAGGCAGCAGUGGGGAAUCUUCCGCAAUGGACGAAAGUCUGACGGAGCAACGCCGCGUGAGUGAUGACGGCCUUCGGGUUGUAAAGCUCUGUUAAUCGGGACGAAAGGCCUUCUUGC
RNAcentral lists this ribosomal RNA (441 nucleotides) under Veillonella parvula. Its description in RNAcentral is "bacterial SSU rRNA". It matches the Rfam family "Bacterial small subunit ribosomal RNA", at positions 43 to 461 of the family's 1533-position model. Lineage: Bacteria; Bacillati; Bacillota; Negativicutes; Veillonellales; Veillonellaceae. The record is from RNAcentral.